CCUACGGGUGGCAGCAGUGGGGAAUAUUGGGCAAUGGGGGAAACCCUGACCCAGCAACGCCGCGUGAAGGAAGAAGGUUUUCGGAUUGUAAACUUCUGUCCCAUGGGAUGAAGGAAGUGACGGUACCAUGGGAGGAAGCCCCGGCUAACUACGUGCCAGCAGCCGCGGUAAUACGUAGGGGGCAAGCGUUGUCCGGAAUUAUUGGGCGUAAAGGGUGCGUAGGCGGCCUUACAAGUUGGAUGUGAAAUCCCCGUGCUUAACAUGGGAACUGCAUCCAAAACUGUAGGGCUUGAGUGUGGAAGAGGUAAGUGGAAUUCCCAGUGUAGCGGUGAAAUGCGUAGAUAUUGGGAGGAACACCAGUGGCGAAGGCGACUUACUGGGCCACAACUGACGCUGAGGCACGAAAGCGUGGGGAGCAAACAGGAUUAGAUACCCCGGUAGUC
This 443-nucleotide ribosomal RNA is filed under the name uncultured bacterium. RNAcentral describes it as "bacterial SSU rRNA". It matches the Rfam family "Bacterial small subunit ribosomal RNA", at positions 338 to 795 of the family's 1533-position model. The record is from RNAcentral.